AUGGCGAAGCCGACCUCGACGGAGGAUCUGAGGGGAACGAAGGAAGGGCGGGUAGGGUUAGGGUUUGCAGAUGGGAAGGGAGAGGUAGAAGGGAUCAGCGGUGAUGUACCGGCGUCAAGUAACACUACCACGGGUAAAGGCGAUGAUGUGAGGAGAGAAAAGGAGGAGGUGGAUCCAGGCCGUGAGAUCGAAGAGGAUUGGGACAAUAUUGGCCAUGACCCAGAGCUGGAGGAUGCAUUCGAAGGGCUGAAGCUGUAUGGAGAAGAGGAGGAAGAUUUAUACCUCUCGGGUGAAGUAGAUGAUCUAAUCAAGGAGGUGAGAUGGUUAUGUCUGUUUAGGGUUCAUACUAUGCGGCCGUUUAGCCAUGCGGCGCUGCUAAACUCUUUGAGGAACGCAUGGUCGUGUGCACAAGGAGUCACCUUCAAUAUCAAAGGGCCUAAUUUGUUCCUAGCACAGUGCCAUUGCUUGGGGGAUUGGAAGAGGGUGAUGGAAGGAGGGCCAUGGCAAUUCAGAAGAGAUCCGGUUGUCAUCGUUGAGUAUGAUGGAUUCACAAACGUUGCUGAAUACGCCCUAGACAUGUAUCCAUUAUGG
RNAcentral lists this ribosomal RNA (591 nucleotides) under Triticum aestivum (bread wheat). Its description in RNAcentral is "partial small subunit ribosomal RNA". Lineage: Eukaryota; Viridiplantae; Streptophyta; Magnoliopsida; Poales; Poaceae. The record is from RNAcentral.